UUAAGUUAUUAAGGGCGCACGGUGGAUGCCUUGGCACUAGAAGCCGAUGAAGGACGUUACUAACGACGAUAUGCUUUGGGGAGCUGUAAGUAAGCUUUGAUCCAGAGAUUUCCGAAUGGGGAAACCCAGCAUGAGUUAUGUCAUGUUAUCGAUAUGUGAAUACAUAGCAUAUCAGAAGGCACACCCGGAGAACUGAAACAUCUUAGUACCCGGAGGAAGAGAAAGAAAAUUCGAUUCCCUUAGUAGCGGCGAGCGAAACGGGAAGAGCCCAAACCAACAAGCUUGCUUGUUGGGGUUGUAGGACACUCUAUACGGAGUUACAAAGGACGACAUUAGACGAAUCAUCUGGAAAGAUGAAUCAAAGAAGGUAAUAAUCCUGUAGUCGAAAAUGUUGUCUCUCUUGAGUGGAUCCUGAGUACGACGGAGCACGUGAAAUUCCGUCGGAAUCUGGGAGGACCAUCUCCUAAGGCUAAAUACUCUCUAGUGACCGAUAGUGAACCAGUACCGUGAGGGAAAGGUGAAAAGCACCCCGGAAGGGGAGUGAAAUAGAACCUGAAACCGUGUGCUUACAAGUAGUCAGAGCCCGUUAAUGGGUGAUGGCGUGCCUUUUGUAGAAUGAACCGGCGAGUUACGAUUUGAUGCAAGGUUAAGCAGUAAAUGUGGAGCCGUAGCGAAAGCGAGUCUGAAUAGGGCGUUUAGUAUUUGGUCGUAGACCCGAAACCAGGUGAUCUACCCUUGGUCAGGUUGAAGUUCAGGUAACACUGAAUGGAGGACCGAACCGACUUACGUUGAAAAGUGAGCGGAUGAACUGAGGGUAGCGGAGAAAUUCCAAUCGAACCUGGAGAUAGCUGGUUCUCUCCGAAAUAGCUUUAGGGCUAGCCUCAAGUGAUGAUUAUUGGAGGUAGAGCACUGUUUGGACGAGGGGCCCCUCUCGGGUUACCGAAUUCAGACAAACUCCGAAUGCCAAUUAAUUUAACUUGGGAGUCAGAACAUGGGUGAUAAGGUCCGUGUUCGAAAGGGAAACAGCCCAGACCACCAGCUAAGGUCCCAAAAUAUAUGUUAAGUGGAAAAGGAUGUGGCGUUGCCCAGACAACUAGGAUGUUGGCUUAGAAGCAGCCAUCAUUUAAAGAGUGCGUAAUAGCUCACUAGUCGAGUGACACUGCGCCGAAAAUGUACCGGGGCUAAACAUAUUACCGAAGCUGUGGAUUGUCCUUUGGACAAUGGUAGGAGAGCGUUCUAAGGGCGUUGAAGCAUGAUCGUAAGGACAUGUGGAGCGCUUAGAAGUGAGAAUGCCGGUGUGAGUAGCGAAAGACGGGUGAGAAUCCCGUCCACCGAUUGACUAAGGUUUCCAGAGGAAGGCUCGUCCGCUCUGGGUUAGUCGGGUCCUAAGCUGAGGCCGACAGGCGUAGGCGAUGGAUAACAGGUUGAUAUUCCUGUACCACCUAUAAUCGUUUUAAUCGAUGGGGGGACGCAGUAGGAUAGGCGAAGCGUGCGAUUGGAUUGCACGUCUAAGCAGUAAGGCUGAGUAUUAGGCAAAUCCGGUACUCGUUAAGGCUGAGCUGUGAUGGGGAGAAGACAUUGUGUCUUCGAGUCGUUGAUUUCACACUGCCGAGAAAAGCCUCUAGAUAGAAAAUAGGUGCCCGUACCGCAAACCGACACAGGUAGUCAAGAUGAGAAUUCUAAGGUGAGCGAGCGAACUCUCGUUAAGGAACUCGGCAAAAUGACCCCGUAACUUCGGGAGAAGGGGUGCUCUUUAGGGUUAACGCCCAGAAGAGCCGCAGUGAAUAGGCCCAAGCGACUGUUUAUCAAAAACACAGGUCUCUGCUAAACCGUAAGGUGAUGUAUAGGGGCUGACGCCUGCCCGGUGCUGGAAGGUUAAGAGGAGUGGUUAGCUUCUGCGAAGCUACGAAUCGAAGCCCCAGUAAACGGCGGCCGUAACUAUAACGGUCCUAAGGUAGCGAAAUUCCUUGUCGGGUAAGUUCCGACCCGCACGAAAGGCGUAACGAUUUGGGCACUGUCUCAACGAGAGACUCGGUGAAAUCAUAGUACCUGUGAAGAUGCAGGUUACCCGCGACAGGACGGAAAGACCCCGUGGAGCUUUACUGUAGCCUGAUAUUGAAAUUCGGCACAGCUUGUACAGGAUAGGUAGGAGCCUUUGAAACGUGAGCGCUAGCUUACGUGGAGGCGCUGGUGGGAUACUACCCUAGCUGUGUUGGCUUUCUAACCCGCACCACUCAUCGUGGUGGGAGACAGUGUCAGGCGGGCAGUUUGACUGGGGCGGUCGCCUCCUAAAAGGUAACGGAGGCGCUCAAAGGUUCCCUCAGAAUGGUUGGAAAUCAUUCAUAGAGUGUAAAGGCAUAAGGGAGCUUGACUGCGAGACCUACAAGUCGAGCAGGGUCGAAAGACGGACUUAGUGAUCCGGUGGUUCCGCAUGGAAGGGCCAUCGCUCAACGGAUAAAAGCUACCCCGGGGAUAACAGGCUUAUCUCCCCCAAGAGUUCACAUCGACGGGGAGGUUUGGCACCUCGAUGUCGGCUCAUCGCAUCCUGGGGCUGUAGUCGGUCCCAAGGGUUGGGCUGUUCGCCCAUUAAAGCGGUACGCGAGCUGGGUUCAGAACGUCGUGAGACAGUUCGGUCCCUAUCCGUCGUGGGCGUAGGAAAUUUGAGAGGAGCUGUCCUUAGUACGAGAGGACCGGGAUGGACAUACCUCUGGUGUACCAGUUGUCGUGCCAACGGCAUAGCUGGGUAGCUAUGUGUGGACGGGAUAAGUGCUGAAAGCAUCUAAGCAUGAAGCCCCCCUCAAGAUGAGAUUUCCCAACUUCGGUUAUAAGAUCCCUCAAAGAUGAUGAGGUUAAUAGGUUCGAGGUGGAAGCAUGGUGACAUGUGGAGCUGACGAAUACUAAUCGAUCGAAGACUUAAUCAA
RNAcentral lists this ribosomal RNA (2921 nucleotides) under Staphylococcus aureus. RNAcentral describes it as "bacterial LSU rRNA". It matches the Rfam family "Bacterial large subunit ribosomal RNA". Lineage: Bacteria; Bacillati; Bacillota; Bacilli; Caryophanales; Staphylococcaceae. The record is from RNAcentral.